This 305-nucleotide ribosomal RNA is filed under the name uncultured bacterium. Its description in RNAcentral is "bacterial SSU rRNA". It matches the Rfam family "Bacterial small subunit ribosomal RNA", at positions 333 to 635 of the family's 1533-position model. The record is from RNAcentral.
AAAGUCCUACGGGACGCAGCAGUGAGGAAUAUUGGUCAAUGGGCGGUAGCCUGAACCAGCCAAGUAGCGUGAAGGAUGAAGGUUCUAUGGAUUGUAAACUUCUUUUAUAAAGGAAUAAAGUGAGGCACGUGUGCCUUUUUGUAUGUACUUUAUGAAUAAGGAUCUGCUAACUCCGUGCCAGCAGCCGCGGUAAUACGGAGGAUCCGAGCGUUAUCCGGAUUUAUUGGGUUUAAAGGGAGCGUAGCUGGGUUGUUAAGUCAGUUGUGAAAGUUUGCGGCUCAACCGUAAAAUUGCAAUUGAUCCUG